CGAGCGAGGUAGCAAUACCUAGCGGCAGACGGGUGAGUAACAUGUGGGAAUCUGCCCUGGAGUGGGGAACAACAGUUGGAAACGACUGCUAAUACCGCAUACGCCCUACGGGGGAAAGGCUUCGGCCGCAUUUGGAUGAGCCCGCGUAAGAUUAGCUAGUUGGUGGGGUAAUGGCCUACCAAGCCGACGAUCCAUAGCUGGUUUGAGAGGAUGAUCAGCCACACUGGGACUGAGACACGGCCCAGACUCC
This 250-nucleotide ribosomal RNA is filed under the name uncultured bacterium. RNAcentral describes it as "partial 16S ribosomal RNA". It matches the Rfam family "Bacterial small subunit ribosomal RNA", at positions 63 to 339 of the family's 1533-position model. The record is from RNAcentral.